This 253-nucleotide ribosomal RNA is filed under the name uncultured bacterium. RNAcentral describes it as "partial 16S ribosomal RNA". It matches the Rfam family "Bacterial small subunit ribosomal RNA", at positions 524 to 776 of the family's 1533-position model. The record is from RNAcentral.
UACGUAGGGUCCGAGCGUUGUCCGGAAUUAUUGGGCGUAAAGGGCUCGUAGGCGGUUCGUCACGUCGGGAGUGAAAACUCGGGGCUUAACCCCGAGCCUGCUUCCGAUACGGGCAGACUAGAGGUAGGCAGGGGAGAGCGGAACUCCUGGUGUAGCGGUGGAAUGCGCAGAUAUCAGGAAGAACACCGGUGGCGAAGGCGGCGAGCUGGACCCUUUCUGACGCUGAGGCGCGAAAGCCAGGGGAGCGAACGGG